This is a long non-coding RNA of Rosa chinensis, 1228 nucleotides long. RefSeq lists it as uncharacterized. NCBI's taxonomy places the organism in Eukaryota, Viridiplantae, Streptophyta, Magnoliopsida, Rosales, Rosaceae. The record is from RefSeq and is a predicted model, not a curated record. The transcript is spliced from 6 exons.
CAAGGGGCAACGGAGACGGACUUACACUGUGGCCAUGGCUUCCAGAAUUUGCCGAACUCCGGCUACAUGGCGAUGAAAACUUUCCGGUGGGAGGUCGCCGCCGGAGGCUAAGCUUACCAUGAAGGGGCUGUAGAGUGCUUCGUACGUACUAGUCCGGUUAGUCUCCAAAAUUGCACCGUGCCGCAAGGAACGAGCACCGAACUGCUUCCACAGUGUGCGAGCUGGAGAAUCCAUGGCGCUCUCUGGUUUUGGAGAAAAUGGGUGUUUCUUGGUGUUGGAGAAAAUGGAGAGCUAAAUUGGGGAAAUGUUUAUCGUCUGAGGCUGCAUGAACUCUGGCUUGGCCCUUGACACCUGCUACCAGAGGAUUUCUUUUACUCAACAUAGAAAUAGUCAAUUUCUAUUAUGACUAUGAUGCUUGGGUGGAUGAGUCAAAAGCCUUAUUUUCUUUCUAAUUCUGUAUUCAUCUUUACAGUUUGGAAUGAGAUCCACAAGUCGUCACUGUCGUGUUUUUCACUUAGAGAGCAACAUUGGCUAUUCUCAGCUGUUCCGCACCCCCCUCCCCUCAAAUUUGCUUACUAAUUCAUGUCCGGCUGUAUCCUGAAUGAAGUAGCACGAUUCUUCAUGGUAGUAUGACGGAUAAGAUGCAUAUGUGGAUAAUUUUAUAUGAGGACAACAAUGAGUGCUGCUAUAUACUUGAUUGUUAAAGAAAAGAGACUUUAUCUCCAGACUUAUGGAGACUGGAGAGAUUGAUCCCAAGUACUGAGAGACAUGGCAAAAGGAUUGAAGGUAACCUGCUUAUUAUGCUACUGUUCAGGAGGAGACAACACACAUGAUGCUUUUCAUUUGGCUGAUGCAGUUGCAAACUUCUGGGCUAGAGUCCCACUAAUUUCCAUGUUCUGUGGUUGGUCUCUCUUUUUUUUGUAGGUAAAAGAGAAGAAGGAAAAUAGAAAGAGAGGAGUCCAGCUAUUCCCACAAGCAUAUUUGCUUUUCAUUCCCUGUUCUUUUAGUGUUCCUGUCGUCGUUUUCACAGCUUUGUAACGUCAAAUGCAAGAGUCGUCAAAAUUUGUAUUCUUGGAACCAAACUUGACGGUUUUAAUCUAAACCCCAUCACUUAACGCCUCUUCAAUUGCAUGGCUGAGUGAUCGAUAAUGCUAAGUUUCCAUAAGCUCUAGUGUCAGUGUGUGUAAGAUGCUAAACUUUUCUCAGUUUAACAUUUCUUACCUUACAA